CGUUGAUAUGAUGAUAAAAUUUCUCGGAAAUAAAAAAAAUUUAAUGUGUCGACACGAAAAAUCAGACUACAAUUAUCUGAUCAGCG
This 86-nucleotide small nucleolar RNA is filed under the name Ananas comosus (pineapple). RNAcentral describes it as "Small nucleolar RNA Z155". It matches the Rfam family "Small nucleolar RNA Z155". Rfam says of the family: Z155 is a member of the C/D class of snoRNA which contain the C (UGAUGA) and D (CUGA) box motifs. Most of the members of the box C/D family function in directing site-specific 2'-O-methylation of substrate RNAs. The record is from Rfam by way of RNAcentral. Lineage: Eukaryota; Viridiplantae; Streptophyta; Magnoliopsida; Poales; Bromeliaceae.